Molecule: long non-coding RNA, 487 nt
Filed under: Malus domestica (apple)
Lineage: Eukaryota; Viridiplantae; Streptophyta; Magnoliopsida; Rosales; Rosaceae
Description: long non-coding RNA (MDOM_LNC015453)
Source: RNAcentral
UGAGAUUGGAGAUUGAACAUGAUGAUGCAGCUUGCUUUCGUCGUCACAAAUCACAAUGUCAUCGUAGGCCUAUUCCACGUCCACAGAAUCUGAAAUUGGCCUAAAAACAACUCUACAACUCGAAUGAAAAGAUGUAGAAGAUUAUUUAAUUCAUUCAAGUUGGAGUGACAACUUAUAUAUCUUGGAAUGGAUAAGUAUCUUAGCUCGGCAAUCAAAUUUGGUAACCAUGGAUACACCAUGCGUCCCACAUGCAUGCAAACUUAUAUUUGAAAAAAAAAAUAUACAUAUACAAAUUGACUGCACCUACACACAGAUCCACCGCGUACGGCACCACCCUCCAUUAACUUGUUACUUCAGAAUCUCACGUAAUUCCUUGAAAUUUUCAGACUCCCCCAAAAUUUUCCCUCAACCCCGUUAAUGCCAAUCUUGUCCUCAAGCUUUCACAUUGUUGUUUCAAAAUUUGGCAAUUUGGUUUCUCACCGCCUUU